Molecule: long non-coding RNA, 221 nt
Filed under: Mytilus galloprovincialis (Mediterranean mussel)
Lineage: Eukaryota; Metazoa; Mollusca; Bivalvia; Mytilida; Mytilidae
Source: RNAcentral
UUCCCCCCUGUAAAAUUAAUUGAAUUGGGGGUGUUUGUUUGUUUUGUUUGUUUGUUUGUUUGUUUCUGUAUGGGGUCUAUAUUAUUGUUACCGGAGAAGUUUCAUGUUUAGUUUGGAAAGUUUUUUCUUUUAUUUUAGGUACAGCGCGCGCGCCACAUCACGUGACACGGGUUUAUAAUAACGAAAAGAUAGUCUUUUUAUUCCUUUUUAGGUGGGACGUU